GAUGAACGCUGGCGGCGUGCCUAAUACAUGCAAGUCGAGCGAACGGACGAGAAGCUUGCUUUUCUGAUGUUAGCGGCGGACGGGUGAGUAACACGUGGAUAACCUACCUAUAAGACUGGGAUAACUUCGGGAAACCGGAGCUAAUACCGGAUAAUAUUUUGAACCGCAUGGUUCAAAAGUGAAAGACGGUCUUGCUGUCACUUAUAGAUGGAUCCGCGCUGCAUUAGCUAGUUGGUAAGGUAACGGCUUACCAAGGCAACGAUGCAUAGCCGACCUGAGAGGGUGAUCCGCCCCCCUGGAACUGGGACACGGUCCAGCCUCCUACGGGAGGCAGCAGUAGGGAAUCUUCCGCAAUGGGCGAAAGCCUGACGGAGCAACGCCGCGUGAGUGAUGAAGGUCUUCGGAUCGUAAAACUCUGUUAUUAGGGAAGAACAUAUGUGUAAGUAACUGUGCACAUCUUGACGGUACCUAAUCAGAAAGCCACGGCUAACUACGUG
Molecule: ribosomal RNA, 497 nt
Filed under: uncultured bacterium
Lineage: Bacteria
Description: partial 16S ribosomal RNA
Rfam family: Bacterial small subunit ribosomal RNA
Source: RNAcentral